This 16525-nucleotide long non-coding RNA is filed under the name Ananas comosus (pineapple). RNAcentral's name for it is "long non-coding RNA (ACOM_LNC002995)". Lineage: Eukaryota; Viridiplantae; Streptophyta; Magnoliopsida; Poales; Bromeliaceae. The record is from RNAcentral.
AUUUGGAAUAGUUUUAUAUAUAUACGAUACUAUAGCACUAAACAUCUUAACCCGGUUAUAUCAUUUUGGAUAAUGGUUAGUCUCAAGACGUUAAAAGGAUUAAGCAUUCUAGAGUUAGGGUGUGUUUGGUUCGCCUAUUAUUCACCUUGGAAUCGGAAUCGGAAUGGACGAAUCUGUUUGUCCGUGUUUAGCAUACAAGAUUCCCAUUCCAAUUUCGAUUCCCAGGUGAAUGAGAAUCUCCCCAAUUACCCCAUUUUUCAAUCCGGCCUUGGAGGCCGGAUUGGAAAUUGAAUCUGGACAUAAUGAAUUUGUUCAGAUUAAAUUUAACUUUUUAAGCUUAUUUUUUAAUUAAAAACAUAAGUUUAAGUUUAAAAAUUAUAUUUAUAAAUUUAGAUUUUAAUUUAAACUUAAAUUAAAAAUUAAAAUUCAAUUGAGCAUUUCGAAUCUAAUUUAUAAAUUAAUUUAAAAUCUAAAAUUUUAUUCAAAUUUAAUUUCAAAUUUAAAUUAAAUUUAUGGUUUCAAAUUGAAAUUAAAAUUAUAAUUUUAAGUUUGAAUUUGAAUAAAUCAAAAUUUAGUUUUAUAUUUUGAAUUACCCAUUCAAUUUCAAAUUUUAAUUUUUCAAAAAAUUAUAUUUAAAACUUUGACAUCAUUUUAAAAUUUUGACCUAUAUUUUUAAUAUUUAAUUUUCGAUUUGAAUUUAAACUAAUAUAUUAUAAAGAUAAAAUUGUCAUAUUAAUUUGAUUACGUUUCUAGUAUCUAUCUGAACCAAACACCGACAAUGGAAUUGGUUCAUUCUGAUUCCGAUUCAGGUUGCGAACCAAACAGAAUGAGGUAAUGAAUCAUUUCGAUUCCGUUUUCAGCUUAUUCUCAUUCCAAUUCCAAUUCCGAUCUGACUUCGAACCAAACACACCCUUAGAGUAGUUCUAGGAUAGGUGACCUUCCUAGGAAGUGGGGCAUCAAAGUUGGUAUCAGAGCCAAUAACCAGCCGGAAGUCUGAGAUAGUUUCGGCUGAGUCACGAUCUAAUUGAUAGGCUAAGCCAAAGUCUGAAAAUAAUCGGUUAAGUCAGGAUCUGAAUGACAAGUUUAGCGAGACGAGUCUCACAUUGCCUGUUACUUAUGAGUGUGUUUGAGUCUGACGAGAAUGCCAGGUAAUAAAGAAGGAAGGAAUGUGACAUUUCUAGAAUUUAAAAUAAUUCUAUAUGUAAGACAUAAUUGGGCUAAACAUCUUAAUCCGACUAUAACAUCUUGAGUAGUGGUUAGGCCCAAAAAGUUAAGAGUGUUUAGCGUUUUAGGAAUAGAGUAGUUUUAGAAUGGGUGACCCUUCUGGGAAGCGAGAUGCCCCACCAUGGAUUAGGUUUAUGUCACGUAUCCUUGCCCUUUCGGGUUAAGGAUAUUAGUUGCGGAUUAAUAUGUAGGUUUUAAGUAAUCACAUUGGGUCUAUGCCGCAUGCUAGUAGAGCAUAGCCUAUAUAAUACAGAGAGUAUCUCCACCCAAUAGCCUGCACUUUUGGAUUAGGUUAUCUCCCUUUGAAUGCAGGAAUAUCUUAUUCGGUAAAUCUUUUUGAUUUACUCUAGAAGCAUAUAAUGCUUGGAAGAUAAGGAGUGUGACCAAAUGCCUAGAAUGGAUACCAUAUUCGACCUUUUAAGUCAAUUUUGUUGGAAUAUUACUUCACAGUUAAAAUAUAUUAUUCUAUUAAAUCAUAGAUAUCAAUACCUUUUACGCCAUUGUUUGCAUACAUGAAUAUCUUAUUCCGAAUAUACCUUUGAUUUAUUCAAGAAGUUGUAGUAUUUGGUAGAUGAGAAAUAGAAAUUUCUUAUUAAUAGCCUUAGAAAAUACUAUAAUUAUAAAAAUAGUCCUCUAAAAAAUUUAUUUACAAAACUAGGUCUAUACGGUAAAUGAAUUACCACAUUUUAAAUGUGGUAAAUCAUUUACCGCUUUCUUCAAAGGAUUAAAACCAUUAUUAGUCUUUAAUAUUAUACAUUUUUUGAAGUUUGGAUGUAGGAAAUAUAUAAAUUAAGAUAAAAGUGGUGAAUCAUUCACUGCUUUUAGAAAGCGGUAUAUGAUUCACCCCUUUUAUCAGCCUAUUUUUACAAAUAAAAAUUAUGAAUGCCUAUUUUUAUAUUUAAAAGAUUUUGUAGGCUUAGUAACCCAAAAGCUCCUGAGAAAUAUGAUCAAACGUUUAGAAUAAUAUAUUCCACUUUCUAAUUAAUUUUUCAAAAAUAAGAUAAAUUACUUUGUAUAUGAAAUAUGUUAUCCUACCAAAUCAUGAAAGACAAGAAGUUUCAGAAGCAAAAAUCAAGCUUUGUUCAUCCAAUAACAAAAAAAAACCCUGCUUAAUAAGUUAUUCAAGGAUAAUUUAUUCCAAUAUCCAAAUAGAGCCUUCAGGAUAAAGAAUUAAGCUCGUAGCUUUCAAUUGCACAAGAAAAUCUUAAUACAGGAUAGGCUAUCAUUUAAUAUCUUAUCCCGACAACCAAACAGAACCUUAGAAAGUAUCAAAGCAUCUUUUAGAUAACUCAGUAUGAAAGCUAGUAUUCAGCCUCUUGAUAUCAUAAGUUUCAUUUAAUUAAUGACAUAAAUAAGUAAAUAAUUUAUUGAUGAAAGUGUUAAAGUACUAUUACUAGACAUUUGAUUUUUUUUUUUUUAAUAGAUAAUAGUAGGAAGCCUCUCUCUCGUCUAGCAUUGUGUUUAAUACUUAUACCAUUAUGAUAGAGGUAUGUGUUAAUUACAUACUGAAAGAGUGAACUAUUUAGUUAGCUUCUUAUUUAGUUAGCUUCUUAGAUAUUUUCCCUUUUGGUAUCUUGUGGUUGUUCUUGGGUCUGAAACGGAAGUGGGUGUGAAUUUAUUCUCGACUAAUGGUCUUACUAGAAUGAUGAAUGUUAGUUUUUUUUAUUCCUUUAAAGAGAGAAAAAAGUAGCAAACUAUUUGCUUCGGUUAUUUUUUAGAAUUGAACUUAUUUGAAAAUGUGAAGCAACUAGGCUUCGAACUUGGGAUCUCGGUGACCAACCAUUAAGCCUUUAGCUAACUACGCUAGGUACGAGCAGUGAAUGUUGUUGGCUUAAAUGGGCCAGAAUCCUAUCAUGUGGCGGGAGGCCAUAUUGGCCGAGUCAUAUUCAAAAUGGCGUGAGACUGGAUGGGCCGUGUCAUAUUCGAAGUAGCAUGAGGCUGGUUGGGCCGAGUCACAAUCGAGAUCCGUGGGGCGUUGUAUCUGUGCUCUUUAAUUGAAUUGGUUGCGUAUUUUUAACAGCUCAAGCUUUUGGGAUUAAUGGUUAGCGCCAACGAUUCGACAAAUGUUAGGUUAUUUUGAUAAUAGUUUCUGUAAAAUGAAGAGGAGGGUGCUUGGUUGCUUUGUGGGUGAAGCAAAAUGGUUUGCGGGAGCACUUGUGUUAAACAACUUAAAAAGUGACCGAGCUAAGAUCUGGAGUGCACAAAUUCAUGUACAAUAAUUUUACCAACGAAUCCUAUUUGAACCUGUAUUGUCCGACCAGAAUUUUUGCCAGUGGUUUAAUUAAAGAAGCACCAAUAGCUUUUUCUCAUUAAAACUCUAAAAGCAUAUUUUAGUUGCAGGAGGAGAAGAAACUUUUUGUAGGUUCAAUGUUCGAAAGCUGGAAGUUCACAUGUUGUUGCAACAAAAACUUAAGACCUUUUGUUUGUCAAGCAUUUGGCUAUCUGAAUAAGUUGAAUAUAUUUUGUCACGUUUGAAAUUAUGGCCUCUUAUAGUUUGUAUGCGUCGUUAUGGAUUACUGGGCUCUGUUUUCCGUUAAGUAGACCCAACAUUCUUUUAUAGAACUAAGUUGUGUGCCAAAUAUUAUUCAAAUCAGAUCUAACCUAGAUCCUUAUGAAUCACAAAUUGAGCUUGUGUGACAUGUCCAAAAAUUCUUGCCCUCUUUAGUAUAGUAGUCCUCAAUCAAAAACUUUUGCAUGAAGUGGCUUCUGUAGGACUCAAAGCGGCAAUGUUAUAGUGGAAACCACCAUGACUUACCAUAGCAAACAAUGGCUCUUUAGAAGCUCCUGAGAGAGAGAGAGACGGGGGGAGAGAGUCGAGCUAGAGUAUUACUGUAAUUUUCUUUUGAUGAUCAAAUAUCUGAAUCGAUGGUCAGUUCCAUUAGACAUGAUCUAUACUAUUAGAAAGAGAAUCUAGCUAGAAUAUGAUUGAAAAUUAUUAUCGAUGAUGGAACAUAUGAAUCAACGAUUGGUUCCAUUAAACCUAAUAUGCACUAUUAGAAGUAUCUAAAAACUAAAUUUUAGUUUUUUGACAUUAUUUGCCUAGUAAACAAGUAUUCUCAAAAUUAAUAGGUGAAAAUAAAUAUUGCAUAAAAAAUUUUUAAAAAAAAUUAAAUUUUAUAUCAAAGAUAGUGGUAUUGCUCAAGAUAAUGAAAAAUACAAAGUCUAGUGUCUAGAUUAAUGGGUCCAGUACAAUGGGGAAAUUUGGUGUGAAUGUAUUUAGAUAUAAUGCCUGGCAUCGAUUAAUCAUUCACUACUCUAGUGCUUUGUCUGAUGUGAAUACUUUGAUUUCUUUACUUUUUGUUGAGAGAGACAAAAUACUAUUUCCAACACUAAUAUCUCUUCCAUGUAUGAAAAGGGUAAAUUGCACGUUUGGUCCUCAAACUAUGAGACGUGAUAUUUCAAUCCUCAAACUUUAAUUUAUUGUAAUUUCUGGCUCGGAACUUUCAAAAUUGUUGCAGUCAAGUCUCACAAGCGAAUGUAGUUGACUAAAUUUCAGCGCAUUAUUGAUGUAAAAGUUAUGUGACAUCUUAAUUAUUGACGCAUAAUCAAUCACAAUACUACUACAUCAGCUCUACAUUAGCGAUGUAUCAAAUAUUUAGUUAACUAAAUUAGGUUAUAAGAUUUGAUUGCAACAAUUCAAAAAGUUCUAGCAAAAAAUUACAACAAAUUAAAAUUUGAGGACCAAAGUGUCACUAGCCUCAUAAUUUGAGGACCAAAUGUGCAAUUGAUCCUAAUGAACAAGUCAAGGUAGAGGAAGGAUAAAAUCAUCCUUAAAAAAGUAAUAAAGUGCACUAUUUAAGGCUCGAACAGCAAGCAGCGUUAUAUGAGGAACAUGCAAUUAAAAAUAUGAGUAUGAAUAGCUCAGAAAAUAUGGUGUUCUUGUGAGGUAAAGGCUGUUUAAAACAAUAAAGUUAUUGGAAGUUUGAAACUGAUGCAAGUGUUUGGACCAACAAUCUUGAAGUUCUGCAUUUAGAAAACAAAUUGCUGUUCAUGGAUUGUAUUCCAAGCUAAUUUACUGAGAUCAAGGAAGCUAAUUUAUUGAGAUCAAGAAUGACAUCAAAUUCUUACUCUUCAAUCAGAAACAGAAAGACAUCAGAAUUCUUGUUCUUAUUGACCUAUUGGAUUAUGUAGAUAUGGUAAGGAGUAUGGAACUUAUAUUAAUAGAUAUUCAUGGAAGUUUCCUGCAUCAUAUUGUUUUUUGCAUAACAGAGAUUGGUUUUCUUUUUGUGGGCAUGAUUGACUCUAUUUCCUUUUCGUUGUGUUGCUAGACGCAUUAUGUUUUGUUACUCUGUUCAUUCAAAGAGCAACUUCAACAGCAUGUUCGUGUUCAUGCGAUGGAAGCAGUAAUGGCUUGCUGGGAACUCGAGCAAUCUCUGCAAAAUUUGACAGGUAAUUUCCCGAUCUUGGUUAAACCAAUAGAAGUGAUUUACUUCAUAUCUUUGAUACAUGAAUUCUCCAAUACAAUAGGCGUGUCAACAGCUGAUAUCGUAGUACCUUAGAUUUGUAUGCAUGUUUAAUACUUCCUUUUAUUAGUUUGCUCAGUGGAGAUAUAACCCUCUGAACAAAAUCAGAUACUUUUCUACCGAAAUUUCAAAAAUUCUAUUUUAAGGAGCUUUAAUCUGGAUUCUGUCGCCCCCGUCGUGCGGAACAUAGCUGUUUGCAAAUUCUUGUGCUGGAUGAUUACAAGUUUACAACCUUCCACAGAUACAAUCAAUGCGUGAGCGAAAUCUUCUUAGAAUCAGAUAACUUUAUACAUAUGGAAAUGUACACACUGAAAGCUCUGCAAACUAGUAUUUUAUUUUCAUUUUCUUGCUACGGACUUCAUUGAUUCACUGCUCUUUUCUAUGGGGAAGUUGCCAAUAUCUGUAGUUUCCUUUAUAGUUACAGGUAAAUUUAUAUUUAUGAAAUCUUAUGCGAUAUUGUUUUAACUUAUAUUCUUGGUUCAAUCCAUGCAAUUUUAUUCCGGUUCAAAGCCGAAAUGAUUUGCACAUUUAAUGGUAGGAUGUUGUUAUGUAAGGUUUAGUUAUCCAUUAGAAUCCAAUCUAAACCGGAUUAUGCAUAAAUUAAAGAAAUUCAUGUUUCAAGUUUAUUUAUGAAGUUGAUUAAAUUCGACUGUAUAUUGGUAUGCAAUGCAUCGAAAAAAGAAGGAAAUAUUAUGUGGAUAUGCCACUAUAUUAUCUGUUCAUCUAUUGCCUACUUGCCUUUUAGAGUCCAUGUUUUACCUAUUGUAAUUUCUCUUUUUUCUUUUUAAUGAUGGAUGUCCUUUCUCUCUGAAUGGUUGCUAUAUGUCACUAAAGGAAAUUUUGUCACACUGCAGGUGUCUCUCCUGGUGAAGGCUCAGGUGCUACCAUGUCCGAUGAUGAUGAUGAACAGGCAGAUAGCGAUACCAACCUUUUCGAUCAAGGUUUUGAUGGACCGGAUAGCAUGGGCUUUGGCCCUCUUGUUCCUACGGAGACCGAGCGUUGCUUGAUGGAGCGCGUUAGACAAGAGCUGAAGCAUGAACUGAAGCAGGUAACAGCUCUACAUUCAAUAGCACUUUGUUCAUGCGGAGGCUAUCUAUUAAACUUUGUGGACUUUUCAGGGGUAUAAAGAGAAGAUCGUGGACAUUAGAGAAGAGAUCCUUCGCAAAAGAAGAGCCGGAAAGCUUCCUGGAGAUACCACUUCUGUUCUAAAAGCCUGGUGGCAGGCACACUCUAAAUGGCCCUACCCAACAGUAAGCGAUAAAUAGUUGUCUGCGAAGUUCUUUUGUUGUAUUUUCAUCUAUUGAUUUUUGGCUAAAAUAUUUUAAUAAGUCCCAGAAGUUUAGGAUGAAUCAUAAAAUUUAAAUCCGAAACUUAAUGGAUUGGGUUACCAGAUGCUGUACAUUACGCAUGAUUAAGAACUACAUGAAUGGGAGAAAAAAAAGUGUACAAAAAGUUGCCAACUUAGAUCGAUCUCUGCAUCCUAAUUCAACAUCAUCUUAUAUUUUGACUUGAGAUUAGAGUAUGUUAUCAGGCGGUAGUUGAAAUGAGGAAAGUAUAGGCGUCUAUUUCGAUAAUUUAGCCUUUCAAUUUUCUGUUUGUUGUUCCUUGUAUGUCGUUUUGUGAUAUUACUUCUGCUCUUACCUGUUUCAUUGGCUUUUUCAGGAGGACGACAAAGCAAGGCUGGUGCAGGAAACAGGAUUGCAGCUGAAGCAGAUCAACAAUUGGUUCAUUAAUCAAAGAAAGAGAAAUUGGCACACCAGCCUGUCGUCCUCGACUGCAUCAAAGAGUAAACGCAAAAGGUGACAUCAAACUAGAUACUACAUCUUCAUCUCUUAAUUCCACUUAGAGCUAUUUACCUAUGUAAGAUUGAAAGGGCAGUAGUGCAGGUGAAAACGGCGCUGACCGUGCAAUCUAGAUGGUGAAUUAGGGACAAAAAAGGUGCCGAAGUACAAAAGCUUAUUGCCGUUCGCUGGAUAGAUCAGUAGAGGCUACAAGAAAGGAGAUAAGGAAUUAGUGUGCAUCAAUUACAAGCGACAAUAUGCAGGAAGUUACAAACUUUAUCGAAUUUGAAGAUUAAAGUUUUGCCACUCCAGUGGUGAAACCUAUUGAUUACCACAUUCUUGAGCAAAAGGAUGGAUGUCGAUGUACUGGAUGGCAAUUCAAUGAUCAUGGUGAGUUUUGUUGUGUUUUAGUUGUAGUUAUUAAAUUGAUGCAUAAGUAAAGACGCUUGGACGCUGCGAUUAUAGUUGUUUGUUAGAUAGAUUGGACUCUGUUGCAUUGUUUGCGUCGCAAAUCUUGUAUUAACUAAUAUGUUGUAAUGCUAUUUAUAUGUCAGGUUAGUAAAGUUCUGUUGCCUAUACUCUGAAUUGUACAAAGUUGCAUAGAAAUAGAGUUGUGCUUUGUGAUGUUAAGUUAAAUCUGCAGUAAACAAGUGCUGAGAGAUCUCGUCAGCUUUGAAAUUUUUCACUGGUUUUUGAAUCGGGUUUUGGAUUGUUGGUAUUUAUUUCUGAACUUGUGAUUUAGAAUUUCAUUUUGGCCUGCGGGCUUUCUGGGUGGUCCAAAAUCAAAUAGGCUAUAUCUGAGAGCUUGUGCAUCACUUACUACAUAUUAGCUUAGUCUCACAUGAAAAAUUUAUGACAUGUAGGAGUGCGUUAUAUACUCCAUCUGUAUGUCACUUGCUUAGCUGAUAAUGAGAAUGGUACACCCCACUAAGCACACGCAUGCGCGUGUGGCACAAGCAUGAGCCGGGCCGGGCCGAGCGCAGUCUUCGGCUAUACGGUUCGGUUUACCUGCACUUAAACCUUACCUAUCCCCCUCUAUUUGUUGCCUCCGUAGAGCCGCUGCAACCAAACGUAUAUAGGAAUAAGGUUGUAGGAGGGGAUAUGUACAUCUUCUACUACACUCUCCUCUGAGUUUGAUACUAACCUUCACUGAGCUUUACUCUUCUUUUUAAGAUUUACUCUAUUUUCUGGAUCUCUGAAAGUCUAUUUGGUUCGUGUUGUGCUACGUUGGAAACAUGCAAACGCGGUAGCUCAUGGUCGUUGUAUCGCGAGAAGUGAUCACUGAAUACAUGUAGUGGCAAUCUUGUUUUUAGGACAGUGCCUAACGCAUCUUGACCCACGAGUCUGAUAUGAACAUUUUAUUUUUAUAAAGUAUUUUGCCAUUAAUUCUUGCAUGCGCUUUUUCCAAAGAGUGAUUUAAAUGUUUACAAACCAAAAUAUUUAAAAGGAUUAAUUUCUGCUAAUAGAAUAGACGAUUUUCCAACAGGAUCACCAUCGAUGAGCCGAGAAUUUUCUCCUGAAAGGGUUCCUUUGAUAGAGAAAAUCAACAACCUGAGAUCUUUCUCAACUUGCUGUGGAGAUAGUAUUUGGGUUGCAGAAAUUUGUGCAAUUUUCAUUAUGUGAUCUUGUGCUUGACCGUUGGAGUGCGCGGUUCGAUUUAAUUCGAUAAGAUCACGUUCUUCAAAUUCCUAAAUGAGGUAAUUGUAUACUCGGUUCCUACUCUCACGUUCUUCAAAUUCCUAAAUAAGGUUUUGUGUGUCGCUUCACUUUUUAGGAAGUCAUCUAUUCUAGGACUACUCUAGUCCUAAUACGCUUAACUCUCUCAAUCUCUUAAAUCUAACCGCCAUCCAAAAUAUUAUAGUCAGAUUAAGAGUUUUAGUCCUAUUAUUUUUCGUAUAUGGAACUAUCUAGGUCUCACAUUCCACCUCCCAAGUCUUAACGUACUUGUUAGGCUCGGACUACCGGGGGUCUCAUAUUUUGAAUCUCUUGAUAAUGAUCCACCUUUUAGUCAUUUAUUUGGUAGGCAAAAUAUUUCUACGGAUUGGGCUAACAUGAUCAAUUAGGAGAAAGCAAUAUGAUCUGUAAUUAAUUAAUUGUUUCAUGUUAGGUCUCAUUUGAUCAGUAAUGGGCUUCGUGUCAAUUAUCAGAAAUAAUGAACAAAAAAUAAAUAGAUCAUACUAAAUGCAUGGAGAUUCCCAAUUACAAGAUAACAUCUUGAUGACUACCCGAGAUCAUCCCUAGAGCAAGUGGCAAAGGGCUUGGUGGUUGGUACCCGAGACCCAAGUUCGAAUCAUAGUUGAUUCACAUUUCUAGCUAAGUUUAUUUCUAAAUGAAAUAAACGAAGCGGACAGCGUGCUAUCUAUCUCUCCAAAAAAAAAAAACAUCUUGAUGACUACUACACGGUUUGAUUUUUCAUUAUGAUUGCAGCUUUGUCGUGGUCAGCUUCACUAGUCUUAAUUUGUUCGCUAGUCUUUUCAUUUCAGCCGAGGAGUAUCUAAACCGACAAUCGGCAACGUUCAACAUAAUUUUAGCUAUUUGGAAUUUUUAGGAAUCAAAUUUUAUUUGUUUUCAACAGUAUUUGCCUAGCGAGAGAAAGAUAGCAUGCUAUAUAUUUUAUUUAUUUUUUUAAAAAAAUAAACUUAGCUAAAAAUAUGAAACAAUUAGGUUUUGAACUUGGAACCUUGAGUACUAACUAUUUAGGUUUUUAUCACCAGCGUUAGAGAUUUUCGGUUAAAGAAAAAAGGGUGAAUUGUGAAUUUCGAUUUUCAUAAAAUUUCAUAUAAUCUUAGACUAUGUUUAACGGCUCUCAUUAUCGACUUGGAUGCCCCAUUGCCAAAAACAACGUGGACGAAAACACCCCUUUUUUCACUUUUAAAAGUAUCCUAGCCUAGCUCAAGCUAAUUAAAUUGUCAUUAACCAUGAACUACUGCAAAAACAGCUCAUGAUGCAAAAGAGAUCAUGAUCGGUAUAAUCUAAUCCAUAAUGUCGGCGUAUCCAAAUUCUUAUCGUAACGAUCGAACAGAUUAAAGAGUGUUAUAAACUAUAAAUUGUUGAUAUUAAAGGUCUCAUUUAUAUGAUAGUAGUUAUUAUACAAAUCGCUCCGUGCUAUUAAUAGUGUCCUAACCCAGUUCUUUGGUCCUACUAUGAAAUAUAUAUGUUAAAUGAGUACUAUUGCUAGGUCUUCUAUAAAAUGCAAUCCUUACAAUUUUUUAAAAUACUUAUGUAUUUGUUGGCGUAAGAAAAAUAGUGCCAGCUGGUGCGUGUCUUGGCACGUGUGUUUAGGUGGUGUGGGCAAAUUAAGAUAUCACACAUGGUGCAUCAAAAGUCGCUAAAAAAAUAAGAGAAGCCAUUGGGCAGAAACGGAUGAGAACGUGGGAGUAAUUCACGCGUCCAAUAAAGAGACGUCUGUAACGUUCUCACGACGCGAUCGCACGAUAACUGUAGGUUGACAGGAGUACUGUAAAUAAUGCAAAGACGCCUGAACUAAGGGUCUCUCCCUCCAUAUAAACAAAAACCUAUUCUAUUUCCAGUCAUUUCUUCUUUUUUUUUUUCAGAAGUAUAAUACUUUUAUAAUCUUUUCCUUUCUACAUUUUAAGAGCAUUUUUAAGAGUAGAAUAGCCUAGUCUCAAUUAGGAAUAGCUUAGUUUUCCAUUCCUAUAACAACCAACACGGCUCGUUCAGCUGAGUUCGCCUUAAACCUCAGUUUGGCUUUUCAUAUUGAGGAAGAAUUUAGUUGAGCCGACCUCUUCUCAAUCAAAUCGCUUGAUUAUGGCGCACUCGAGAAUUAGUCUGAGAACCGAUCUAGAUCCAGAAGACUCAUUUGACUCGGUCAACGAUUUGACACGAUCAACGUCUCCACAAGUUCGGUUCUAUAUCCAACAACAUCUAAUGUGAAGUCUUUUAAUUAGUUUAUACAUAUAAUUGAAAAUUGUCACAUUUACUUGCUGACACAUCAUAACCUAAUAUCACCAUUAUGCUAUAAAAAACAGAAGGUUUCUCUAUGUUAACACCAAAUUAAAUUACAUAUUAAUCUCUAUUUAUUUUAUUUUUUCAAUUUAAUUAUUCAUACCUUAUUUUUUUUUAACUUUCAAGAAUUAUCUAAGGGUUCGUUUGAUUCAACGUAAAAUCGUGAAAUAUAAUUUUUCAUAUAAAAAAGAGUUUACGUUUUGUAGUGUUUGAUUUGUAAAAAAAAAAUUCGAUCAAUGUUUGUUUGGUUGAAAGAAAAAAAAUUCACAUUUGUCUGAUUCCGUAGAAAAAAAAAAUAGAUGAAAAAAAAUUUUACGUAACUUGAGUUUUUAUUUUUCGUCAAAAAAUAACAAAGCUAAAACUUUAAUUUUUUUUUUAAAUUUGUAAAACUAUUUUUACAAAAAAUAUUUUUACAUCAAAUUAAAUAAAUAAAAAAUAAAUUUAUAUCCAAAAUAAUUUCUCGUUUUGUUUUACGUCAAAACCAAACGCUUCCUAAUUUAGAGAUAUAUCUAUUUCCGCAUUCACAUGUGUUAAUUAUAAAAUAAACAAAAAUAACUUAUUUUCAAAUCGAUCUGUUUCCUCCUCUCUCUCUCUCUCUCUCUCUCUCUCUCUCUCUCUCUAUGAUGAUGACUUCUCAAAAAAGAAAAAAGAAAAAAGAAAACAGGGGGUGCAUAAUAGGAAGAGAACUAGGCUUGUGCUUCAUUAAAUUGGAGAGGGAUAUGAUUGAUGAGAGAUUUUACAGCUCAGUACAGAUCAAAUCAGUUAUCUGUAGCUCUUUCCACAUCAGUUGUCAUACCUCAUUAUCUAAUUAAAACAAAUAAAUAAAUGUUCCAAAUGUUCUUAAAGAAAAGGGAAAAUUUUAAAAAACCCCCUUGUGGUUUCACAUUUUUUCACUUUAGUACCCUGUGGUUUAAAAUGUAUCAAGUUAGUACCCCGUGGUUUCUCACUUUAUCACUUAAGCAUUCUGUGGUUUAAAGUGUAUCAAGUUAGUACCCUGUGGUUUUGCACUUUAUCACUUUAGUACCCUGUGGUUUUAAUUUUGUAUCAAGUUAGUACCCUAUAAUUUUUUAAAUCACAAGGUACUAAAGUGAUAAAGUGUGAAACCACAGGAUACUAAAGUGAUAAAGUGCAAAACCACAGGGUACUAGCUUGAUACAUUUUAAACCACAGGGUACUAAAGUGAUAAAGUGAGAAACCACAGGGUACUAACUUGAUACACUUCAAACCACAUGGUACUAAAAUGAAAAAGUGUGAAACCACAGGGGGGGUUUUUGAAGUUUUCCCUAAAGAAAAAUAUUAUCUAGGCAUCCAAAAAUAUAUAUAUAAAUUACAAAAACUUUAAAUACCACUAUUUUAAUUUCAUAUUUUUUUACCUUAGUAUUCUAUAAUUUAAAAUGUAUUAAUUUAAUACCAUAUGAUUUCAUACUUUCUCACUUUAAUACCAUGUGGUUUAAAGUGCAUUAAUUUAAUACCCUAUUGUUUCAUUUUUCUUUUUUUGUCUGCUCCUCUGUUAAUAUUUCGUUAAAUUAUAUACAAAAAACUUCAGAAACCCUACCUAGGUUUAUCGAAUAUUCACUUUAGUACCUUUUAAUUUUAUUUUUGAUACUGAUUUAACAAAAAAAAAUUAGUAAAAUAGAUAAUAAAAAGAGAAAAAUGAAACCACAAGGCACUAGCUUGAUACACUUUAAACCACAGAGUACUAAAGUGAGAAAUUGCGAAACUACAGGGGCUAACUUGAUACACCUUAAACCACAGGAAAUUAAAAUGAGAAAGUAUGAAAUCGCAGGGGGUAUUUGAAGUUUACCCAUAUAAAUUUUAUAUUUUUAAAAUUUAAUAAGAUAAGAAUUCAAUAUUGAGUGUUGGAUAAGAAAAUAUAAGAUUUGCAUCCUCUAUUUUUUGGUGUACAGAUAGUAUAUUUUGUUUUUAACUACUUUAAUUUGCUACACAGUAACAACUAAAAUUGUGCUAGAAUAUUUUUAAAAAAAUACCAAAUUUUUAGUAUGUUAAUAUAAUUUUGGUAAAAAGGAAUUUGAAUUAAUGGUUGAAAUUAUUAAUUAAACCUAAUCUACAGUAUUUAAUUUUUUUUAAAAAUUAUUUUUUUUAAUUUUUUGAUAUUAUUUACCUAGUGAUCACUAAAUGGUUUCAAAUUUACUCUCUAUUUACUACAAAAAUUAUUAAUUAUAAGAUUACUUGAAUAAUAAAUAAAUAAUAUUGAAAAUAAUUCCUAGCAAAUUUUUGAGUCAUAAAUCAUGUUUAAAUAUUUCGAUUAGGGGUGGAAACAAGCCGAGUUCGAACGAGCUUAUCUUAGCUCAAAUUCGGCUUUAAAUUAAUUUUAAAUUCUAAAUUUAAAAUUUUACAAUUUUAAAAUUUAUAAUAUUUAUUUUUAAAUUUUCAGCUUCAAAAUUAAAAUUUUAAAUACCUGUUUUACUUUCUCUCUUACUUAAUUUUCAUUUAAUUUAAUAUUCAUACAUUUUCUUUUUUUUUCUUCUCUUACGGAAAAGUGUGCAUGCCACUUUUCUCUCUCCCUUAGUUUAAUUUUUAAUUUAAUUUAAUGCUCUCUUUUUUUUCUUUCUCUAAACAAAAGAUAUGAAUAUUUAAAAUAAUUUUAAAUUUGAAUUUAAUAAUUAUACAUUUUUGAAAAUUCCAAAUUUUUAUUUUUCUAUAUUAUGAGUAAAAUAUAUUAUAUUUGAAAGUUUGAAAAUGCUCUCUCUCUCACUUUAAUUUUUAUGUAAUAUUCUCUUUUCUCUCUCCAAAUAAGAGAUAUAUAUAUAUAAAUUACAAGUUUCAUUUGACUCUAUUAAGUAACUUUACAUAAUAUACAACAUAAUAAGUGUGAACUUAAAAAUUGCACAUGUUACAAAGCAUUGGUACAUUGCUAGUAAGUAUAUAUAGAUCUAAAAAGGAACAUACACUUUUUGUAGAACGCAACGGAAGUAUUCAUUCGUACCUCUUAGCGGAAGCAUAGAACGCGACGAGCCUGGACUGUAGAGGUUCAUUAAUUCACGUGUUAGAACGCGACGAGCGCAGAUUGUAGAGAUUGAUUCACGUGUUCUCGGAUCAUUCUCGAAAGUCUUCUAUCGCUCUAAACUCGCGGUGGAUCAAACUACAAACGAGCACGAUUUUCAGUCCACCGUUCAAGACCCUCUAGAAUAAUAGGUUAUUGAAGGAUGUGGUUUAAUUCUACCUUUCUCUUUUGAUUUUUCUUGUUAUCUUUCUUAUUUCAUAUUAUGUGAGAUUGUCCGUAUAUUUAUAAGGGAUUCCGAAAUUCUAAUAGGUACGUAACAAAUAAGGCCAAAUCGAUUCAUACUUGUUAUCCUAAUAUACUUAGAAUUUAUCUCUAAUUAGCUUUCCAAUUUAAAAGUAAGAUUAAUUCUAAUCCAAUUAGACAACGUAAUAACCGUUGGAUCGAGCCCGAUUAUAGGCGCACCCGAUUCGAUUUAACCGAAUGCCAACACUUUUGAUAGUUUAAGGAUCUUAAAUAUCAAACAUAAAAGUUUGGGGACCAACAAUGAAGAUUGUUCAAAAGUGUAGGGACAAGUGGAGCAAUUUAGCCCGGUGCAGCAGAACUAAAAUGAAGCAUUUAUAAGAGUCAGCUAGUCUCUAACAUCAACCUUGAGAGCCUUUCUGGUUCGGCCCUUUUUCAUCAAGGAAUCGAAAUCAGAAUGAACGAAUCUGUUAGCAAGUACUUGAUGUACAGGAUUUUCAUUCCCAUUUUGAUUUAUGAAUGAAUGAGAAUUUUCCGGUCAUCCUUUUUUUCAAUCCGGCCUAGGAAGAAGGAUUAAUGGAAGUUGAAUUCCGGCGGAAAGAAUACACCUUACGAAAAUAUCUCAACUAUCGUUUAUAUUUUUAUUUAAAAUUUAAUUUAAUUUUUUGACUUUAAUUUUUAAUUAAAAUAUGAACUUAAAUUUAGAAAUGAAAUAUUUAAUUCUAGAUUUUAAUUUAGAAAUUAAAUUAAAAUAUAAGUUCAAUCAAGCAUUUUGAAUUUCAACUGUAAAUUUAAAUUUAAAUUUAAUUGUAAGUUUGAAUUUGAAUUAAAUCAAAAAUUAAUUUAUUAUUUUGAAUUAUCCAUUCAAUUUUGGCUUAUCAAUGCAAUAUUUAGAUGUAAAGUUUUAAAAUUUAACUUUAGUUUGAAUUUAAAUUAUAAAUUUAAUUUUAUGUUUUGAUGUGCAAACUCAAUUUUAAAUUAUUUUUAUAUUCUGUACUUAAUUUUAAAUUUUUUUUAAUUACUUUUUUUAUAAUCAAAAUUUUUUAAAUAUUGAAAGUAUAAAUUAAUCAUACUAAUUCCGAUUGUUAUUCUGAACCAAAUAUACUGGAGCUUUUAUCAUUCCGUUUUCGAUUUUCGUAUAUUAUGAUUUCUAUUCUGUUGAUGCCAAAACUAAAAUUAACACGCCGACCUAAUCCACGUAUGAACUAAAGAAAUAAGGACACGUGGUACACCAGGAGUCGGCAAUAAGGCGCCUGAAAGUUAAGAGCGUUUAAGCUGGAACGGUUGAGAAGUGGGGCGUAACUUCCAUGUGAAGUGGGCCGUAACUUUUAUGAGAAGUGGGGUGUAACUUUCAUGAUCAUGGCUACACCACUUCCCCUACUACGAUAACCAACCAAUAAUGUGGGCUGAUAAGAUAUUAUAAAUAAUAACUUUGAAGCCUGUAAUAGAGGUCUUUCUCUCCCCUGAACGAGAAGACCACCGCAUUUUCAAUACUUUCCUUUCCUCUAUUUAUCGCUUUCUAGGAGUAGUCUACAUAUAAUCUUUUUUACCCGCAUUUAUUGCUUUUCUAUAAGUAGUUUUUAAAUUAGAUCUCUGAAGUCUGUACGCCCCACAGGCACACUCUGUUGUAAUCUAGAUUUUCAGAGUCUAUAUGCCCUUUUGGCACACACUGUUUUGUAUGAGUUCCCAACUUCAUUUUAAUAUAUAAACGCAUUCAGCUCUUUCAACCGACCAAUUACUGUGUUUUUCAUCCAUUCGGCUCUUCAGCCAACCUUAGCUUUUGUACAGUCCGUACAUUCGGCUCAUUCAGCCGAACCGAAUCUACAGUAGAGUCUUUGAACUCGGCUGAUCCGAUCCCUCGUCAGCCGAAUAGCUUGAUCCAGUCG